CCCUGACACAGAUUUUAGAUACACCCCUCAUUCACACAUACACAUACUGACAGAUGUCUGAUACACCAUUUAUUCACACAUACUUACAAGGUGCACACAUACAAAUACACUCCCGCAUUCACAUGUACACCGCUCAAACAUUCACAGACUUUCCACAAUAAUACAUACACCAACACUCCCCUGUGUUCAUACACACAAGUCCUCCACAAAAAUACAC
Non-coding RNA from Pelobates cultripes (western spadefoot toad), 217 nucleotides. The record is from the annotation of a GenBank genome assembly. NCBI's taxonomy places the organism in Eukaryota, Metazoa, Chordata, Amphibia, Anura, Pelobatidae.